AUGAGCAGGGAUUGUAUCUUAUCCAUUUUUUUAUCCCAAGCACCUAGGAUCAUACUUGAUAUGUGCCUGAAACAUGGGAAACCCUCAGUGCAUAUUUUUGAACUUUUUAUUACAGUGUUUCAUGUGGAGAUUGUCCCUGUUUCUGAUGGUGAUACACUAGAAGAACCCACAGUGGCAUCCUGUAGACUCCCUGUUGCAGUGACAGCACAUGGGCUUUUCAUCUGCGCUCUCUGCAAUGAUCCUGCGAUCUGCCACACAAUCAGUUCCUUAGAAAAGAACAAUGCUACCAGAAAGAAAGAAAGUACUGGCAACAUGGUAAAGAAUAUGAGGCCUUUUAUAAGAUUUGUAAAUAUAAAUGAAUCUUGAUAACAAAUGGCAUCAAAAUAUGAAUUAUUGCUAUUAUUCAAAAGAAGAAUCAGGACAUUUUUGGCAACAAAUGCAAAUGAACCUGAGUGUCUGGGCUUUUGAUCUGGACUGUGUAAACACAGGCUCAUAACUAGGUAGUUUUGUGUUUAUAUUGGUGGAGCCUCUAAAGUUAUGCUUACAGAUCCAGGAACAAUGUGACAUUCAAGAAAGAGCAAACACAAUCUUAAGUCUUACCUCCUAUGUCCCUUGACUCCAGGAGUGUUUGUCCAAGUUAUCCCUGUAUUUUAUGGAGCAGGUUAUUGUAAAAAUUGUACAGAUGCAGUUCUAUGUCUAAAUGCUACACAUAUAUUUAUUUAAGUGGGAUUGGUCUCUAAUGAAAUGUCCUCCUUUUGAGACAAUUAUAGGCCAUUGGCAAUCUGCAUAGUAAUUUAUCACCUCAUUUUCAGUCAUUAUCACUGUUAGUCAACCAUGUGUUCCACAGUCUUAACAUCACAGAGAGUUCACCGGGAUUAGUUAGGUGUUUUAAGAUUCAUUAUCAUCACCAUUAUUACUACAAAUCACACCAUUUAUUUAGCACCAACAAUCUGCUGAAGAAAGCAAGUUGGCACAAUCUAAUGUGGAUAAGAAACCGGCCUCCUGCAUAAAAGAAGCCUGGGACUCCAGCUCCAGGCAACAAUAAGUGAGGUAAGAUGACUGGUAGGCUCUUAAGAAAGGGUACAGAAGUUACAUAGUUUCAAACCCCCCAUAAUGUGGUCUCCUGGAAGGACAAAUAUUUUGCAAAACUCCUCUUAUUUCUCCUAAUGGCCUGAUCAAUAGAAAGUAAAGACAGCUGACCAGAAGGCAUAUUAAGAUGAAAGGACUUGGACAAACUGCCUGUGUUUAUGGCAUAAAAUUGUUUUUUUUUUUUUUUUCUGAAAAGCCUUUAAAACUAGAACCCUCUCAAAACUGUCUGAGCUUGAAGUUGGUGUAUGAGUUUACUUGUCUCAGGGUUCUUCACUCUACUAGCAUGGGGUACCUCUGUAACAUACAGAGAAAUGAUCCAUCCAGUUAGCUGAAGUGGGUGGCAUGAGCCUGGCAGUCUGAGUUUAGCCAUCAGAAUACUAUAUGAUAUAAAAGGAUACAUUUUCUUCUGAUCUAAUUAUUGCAAGCAAUGUAAGGCUCUACUAUGACUUACUUGGAGUAUAAAGGGCACCUACUAUAAUAUUCCUUAAUUCAUUUUAUAAAAUGUAAACAUUUAAAAGUUCAGUGAUUGUAAUUAUGAUAAUAAAAUUUGAAAUUUGACUUGGAAACUAAGUUAA
Molecule: long non-coding RNA, 1664 nt
Filed under: Canis lupus dingo (dingo)
Lineage: Eukaryota; Metazoa; Chordata; Mammalia; Carnivora; Canidae
Description: lncRNA (ENSCAFG00020010541.1)
Source: RNAcentral